This 223-nucleotide long non-coding RNA is filed under the name Elaeis guineensis (African oil palm). RNAcentral's name for it is "long non-coding RNA (EGUI_LNC023288)". Lineage: Eukaryota; Viridiplantae; Streptophyta; Magnoliopsida; Arecales; Arecaceae. The record is from RNAcentral.
CCCAUGCGCCUCCCACUUUGAUGCCAUCUUUCUCCAUGCUGAAAUAGUUUUUGUAUGAGAAUUUUUCAUGCCAAUGAGUCCUUUCUCUUCUCUAUCUCAUGUCCAAAUUUGGGUAGGAUCAGAUUUUAAAUGGUAUAUUUAAAUUUAAUUUGAAAUAGGAUACCAUAUAGAUAAUGUUUGACAUUAUCUCUAAGAUCUUGCCACCAACUUAUUUUUUUUCUCC